UACAGAGGGGGCAAGCGUUGUUCGGAAUUACUGGGCGUAAAGGGCGCGUAGGCGGCCAACUAAGUCAGACGUGAAAUCCCUUGGCUCAACCAGGGAACUGCGUCUGAUACUGGAUGGCUUGAGUUCGGGAGAGGGAAGUGGAAUUCCAGGUGUAGCGGUGAAAUGCGUAGAUAUCUGGAGGAACACCCGUGGCGAAAGCGGCUCUCUGGACCAUUACUGACGCUUAAGCGCGAAAGCUAGGGGAGCAAACGGG
RNAcentral lists this ribosomal RNA (253 nucleotides) under uncultured bacterium. Its description in RNAcentral is "partial 16S ribosomal RNA". It matches the Rfam family "Bacterial small subunit ribosomal RNA", at positions 524 to 776 of the family's 1533-position model. The record is from RNAcentral.